GCCCUGGGGCCGGGAGGGAGCGGGACAGCGGAGGGUGCCCGCCGGGACCGCUCCGGGAACGAAGUUGCCAGCUGCACUUAGUUUUGUGUACGCAUCCCAGCCGCCGCCGCCGCCGCCGCCGGGGGUGUAAGGAAGAGGCGGAGCUCAGCUGCAGAGCGGCAGGGGGUAUGCCCGGCGGGCUGAGCGCUCCCGGCACCGGCCCCCGCCGCGGGGAGCACCGCGGUAAACGGUGCCCGGGCGCUCCGUAACUACGGGAAGGGAGUCACUGCUGUACGUGCUGACCAGAGAGCAGUGCUCAGGAGAAAAGAUGGAGCAGAGGCUGGGGAAGAGAACCCAAGUCCAGAGGAACCUCUUUGGCACCACAGACCGUGAGCAGCUGCAGCAGGACUUUGAGUGCAUGUUGCACAGCAGCGUUGAGCAGGCCCAGCAGAAGUGGAACUUUGAUUUCCUCCAGGAUGUGCCAGUGGAGGGGCUCCUGAAAUGGGAAGAGCUUCAAGGCCAUGAGGUGCCUGCCUUCUACCACAGCCACAUGGUAGGAGAUUCUUGGAGACCAUUGCAGCACAUGAACUGCCAUCUGUGCAGGGAGAUCACAGGUCACCACUUUGCCCAGGUGACACUGACCAAGAAAUCCAGCACUGCCAGGAAAACAGGAAGCAGGAGAAUCUUGUAAGGGAAGAAAGGAAGACAGACAUCUUCGACAGAUUGCUGCUCUGCAAAGAAGCCAGGCAAAACGAAUAUGCAAGCUGCUGCUGCUGCAAAGACGGUCAACUUCUUGACAGCAAAGAGUCAGGGUUCAGGCCAGAUCAGCUGGAAUCACUUUGAUCACAAAUUACUGGCCUCAGAAACCACUGCUUUAACAUGAAUUAAAAAAUCCCAGCAGACUGGAUGUGAGAGUUGCAAACGGUUCAAGGUAACUGUGUGUCAUGACAGGCUUGGAGAGGUCACUGUGGAGCUGAGGCCUUUCACGCCGUCACUUCUUUACAUCCCCUCUUGUUUUGGUUGUAGCAGGGAGAGCUUGCUAAGUUCCACCACCUCAACCUUAACAGUGUGUGUCAAACUGACACAUUAAAACAGAAUAAUUCCUA
Long non-coding RNA from Pogoniulus pusillus (Red-fronted tinkerbird), 1085 nucleotides. RefSeq lists it as uncharacterized. The transcript has 3 exons. The record is from RefSeq and is a predicted model, not a curated record. NCBI's taxonomy places the organism in Eukaryota, Metazoa, Chordata, Aves, Piciformes, Lybiidae.